UAUAUAUAUAUAUAUAUAUAUAUAUAUAUAUAUAUAUAUAUUGUUUUUCUGUCUCUUGCAACUCCACUUGCCUGUAUUAUCUUUCUGUCGGCUGGAAAUUAUAUCUGAAGCCCAUGUUUCGUUGAAGACAGAAGGAUCAAGCAUGGGUAUGCCUAAGCCUUCUUCUACUCUGCUUCUGCUGUUGCUUAUAGUCACUGUUUCUGCAUCCCAGAAACAAAUAACAUCAGAAGCAAGGACACUUUUGUCCCAGAAACAAAAAUAUUCCAAGAUUUUUUCGACACUGGGAGUUGUUUGCAAGUGUUGUGAUGAAACUGGAGCUGAGUGCGCAACUACUUGGACGGGUUCUUGCCAUAAUCUCCAAUGUCUUCCAUGGAAGAUCUAGACUAGACUAGUCAGGGAUUUCCUUGCGUUUUCUCUUCUUAGCGGUUUUUGUACAUAUAUGUAGUCACACUCGAUCAAUGAUUCAAGCAGCUUUCCAGCUUUGGCCA
This is a long non-coding RNA of Populus nigra (black poplar), 488 nucleotides long. RefSeq lists it as uncharacterized. The record is from RefSeq and is a predicted model, not a curated record. The transcript has 2 exons. Lineage: Eukaryota; Viridiplantae; Streptophyta; Magnoliopsida; Malpighiales; Salicaceae.